This 468-nucleotide ribosomal RNA is filed under the name uncultured bacterium. RNAcentral describes it as "partial 16S ribosomal RNA". It matches the Rfam family "Bacterial small subunit ribosomal RNA", at positions 28 to 507 of the family's 1533-position model. The record is from RNAcentral.
GACGAACGCUGGCGGCGUGCUUAACACAUGCAAGUCGAACGGAAAGGCCCUGCUUUUGUGGGGUGCUCGAGUGGCGAACGGGUGAGUAACACGUGAGUAACCUGCACUUGACUUUGGGAUAAAUUCAGGAAACUGGGGCUAAUACCGGAUAGGAGCUCCUGCUGCAUGGUGGGGGUUGGAAAGUUUCGGCGGUUGGGGAUGGACUCGCGGCUUAUCAGCUGGUUGGUGGGGUAGUGGCUUACAAAGGCUUUGAAGGGUAGCCGGCCUGGGAGGGGGACCGGCCACAUGGGGACUGAGAUACGGCGCAGACGCCAACGGGAGGCAGCAGGGGGGAAUAUUGCACAAUGGGCGGAAGCCUGAUGCAGCAACGCCGCGAGCGUGAUGACGGCCUACUGGGUGUAAACCGCUUUCGCCUGUGACGAAGCGUGAGUGACGGUAAUGGGUAAAGAAGCAACGGCUAACUACGUG